RNAcentral lists this small nuclear RNA (107 nucleotides) under Prolemur simus (greater bamboo lemur). Lineage: Eukaryota; Metazoa; Chordata; Mammalia; Primates; Lemuridae. The record is from RNAcentral.
GUGCUUGCUUUGGCAGCACAUAUACUAAAAUUGGAAUGAUUCAGAGAAGAUUAGCAUGGCCUCUGCACGAGGAUGACGCACAAAUUUGCGAAGCAUUCCAUAUUUUU